This 343-nucleotide ribosomal RNA is filed under the name uncultured Pseudomonas sp. Its description in RNAcentral is "bacterial SSU rRNA". It matches the Rfam family "Bacterial small subunit ribosomal RNA", at positions 1040 to 1382 of the family's 1533-position model. Lineage: Bacteria; Pseudomonadati; Pseudomonadota; Gammaproteobacteria; Pseudomonadales; Pseudomonadaceae. The record is from RNAcentral.
GCUGCAGUGGCUGUCGUCAGCUCGUGUCGUGAGAUGUUGGGUUAAGUCCGUAACGAGCGCAACCCUUGUCCUUAGUUACCAGCACGUUAUGGUGGGCACUCUAAGGAGACUGCCGGUGACAAACCGGAGGAAGGUGGGGAUGACGUCAAGUCAUCAUGGCCCUUACGGCCUGGGCUACACACGUGCUACAAUGGUCGGUACAAAGGGUUGCCAAGCCGCGAGGUGGAGCUAAUCCCAUAAAACCGAUCGUAGUCCGGAUCGCAGUCUGCAACUCGACUGCGUGAAGUCGGAAUCGCUAGUAAUCGUGAAUCAGAAUGUCACGGUGAAUACGUUCCCGGGCCUU